CCUGGCUCAGGAUGAACGCUAGCUACAGGCUUAACACAUGCAAGUCGAGGGGCAGUGAGAAGAAAGCUUGCUUCUUGCCGGCGACCGGCGCACGGGUGAGUAACGCGUAUCCAACCUUCCCCUUAGUAGGGCAUAGCCCGGCGAAAGUCGGAUUAAUACCCUAUGUUAUUCGUAGAGGACAUCUGAAAUGAAUCAAAGAUUUAUCGCUAAGGGAUGGGGAUGCGUCUGAUUAGGUAGUAGGCGGGGUAACGGCCCACCUAGCCUACGAUCAGUAGGGGUUCUGAGAGGAAGGUCCCCCACAUUGGAACUGAGACACGGUCCAAACUCCUACGGGAGGCAGCAGUGAGGAAUAUUGGUCAAUGGACGAGAGUCUGAACCAGCCAAGUAAGCGUGCAGGAUGACGGCCCUAUGGGUUGUAAACUGCUUUUAUACGGGGAUAAAGUGAGGGACGUGUCCCUUUUUGUAGGUACCGUAUGAAUAAGGACCGGCUAAUUCCGUGCCAGCAGCUGC
This 510-nucleotide ribosomal RNA is filed under the name uncultured bacterium. RNAcentral describes it as "bacterial SSU rRNA". It matches the Rfam family "Bacterial small subunit ribosomal RNA", at positions 18 to 518 of the family's 1533-position model. The record is from RNAcentral.